Molecule: small RNA, 58 nt
Filed under: Sinorhizobium meliloti 2011
Lineage: Bacteria; Pseudomonadati; Pseudomonadota; Alphaproteobacteria; Hyphomicrobiales; Rhizobiaceae
Description: putative ncRNA
Source: RNAcentral
ACCGUAGGCAACGCGCUGCGAGGAGCGCUCGACACCGCGUUCGUCGAGGAUCUGGAUC